Molecule: long non-coding RNA, 453 nt
Filed under: Citrus x clementina
Lineage: Eukaryota; Viridiplantae; Streptophyta; Magnoliopsida; Sapindales; Rutaceae
Description: Citrus clementina (C. clementina) long non-coding RNA (CCLE_LNC006833)
Source: RNAcentral
AGUGAAAUCCCAAAAUCUAACUCGUGAAAUCCCAAAAUCAUUGCUCGAUUUCUUCACGUGGAAAAGGUCACCGGUGCUGGCGAAAAGAGAAUACAUGAACUAGCCUCAAUCACGACUUUGGAAUCACUACCCACGCUGCUAAAAAUUCUCUUUUGUUGAUUUCGAAUCAUCCAAGGUAAUGUUUUCUAAUAACAUUCAUGCCGCUGAUCUAGUUUUUGUUAAGUCAUACAUGCAACGAUCUGUCAUUAAUUUAUCUCUGUGUUACCUGUGUUGCUUAUUAAUUGUUUGAUCGAACCAAUUUGCUUUUUUUUUUUGUCAAUAAGUGAAAAUAAAAGAGGAAGUUCUUUUGUGUGUUGAAAGUGCUUUUUCUCUGCUUCUGCUCCUACUGCGUAUAGAGACAAGAUGUGGUGCCAGUUCAGUGGUCAUGUGGAAGCUCUUUUUUUUGUUUAAAAU